RNAcentral lists this ribosomal RNA (468 nucleotides) under uncultured bacterium. Its description in RNAcentral is "bacterial SSU rRNA". It matches the Rfam family "Bacterial small subunit ribosomal RNA", at positions 28 to 493 of the family's 1533-position model. The record is from RNAcentral.
GAUGAACGCUGGCGGCGUGCUUAACACAUGCAAGUCGAACGAAGCACUCUAUUUGAUUUUCUUCGGAAAUGAAGAUUUUGUGACUGAGUGGCGGACGGGUGAGUAACGCGUGGGUAACCUGCCUCAUACAGGGGGAUAACAGUUGGAAACGACUGCUAAUACCGCAUAAGCGCACAGGAUUGCAUGAUCCGGUGCGAAAAACUCCGGUGGUAUGGGAUGGACCCGCGUCUGAUUAGCCAGUUGGCAGGGUAACGGCCUACCAAAGCGACGAUCAGUAGCCGACCUGAGAGGGUGACCGGCCACAUUGGGACUGAGACACGGCCCAAACUCCUACGGGAGGCAGCAGUGGGGAAUAUUGCACAAUGGGGGAAACCCUGAUGCAGCGACGCCGCGUGAGCGAAGAAGUAUUUCGGUAUGUAAAGCUCUAUCAGCAGGGAAGAAGAAUGACGGUACCUGACUAAGAAGCAC